UUUACAAAUCUUCACAGAUCUGAAACUGAUAUUGCGUCAGAAGGGACACCGAUGAUCAGUAGUAGCAGCCUCAAUGGUAUCGGAAGCCCUGAUAUGGGAAAGCAGGGAAAACAAGCUCCUAUGCUUCACGGUAUACCAGAUUUUGCUGAAGUUUAUGGCUUCAUUGGUAGCGUUUUUGACCCAGACAGUAAAGAACAUGUGAAUAAACUCAAGGAGAUGGAUCCUAUCAACUUCGAAACAGUUUUGUUGUUGAUGAGAAACCUCAGUUGUAACUUGUCCAGCCCUG
Molecule: unclassified non-coding RNA, 286 nt
Filed under: Hevea brasiliensis (rubber tree)
Lineage: Eukaryota; Viridiplantae; Streptophyta; Magnoliopsida; Malpighiales; Euphorbiaceae
Source: RNAcentral